RNAcentral lists this long non-coding RNA (1978 nucleotides) under Marmota monax (woodchuck). Lineage: Eukaryota; Metazoa; Chordata; Mammalia; Rodentia; Sciuridae. The record is from RNAcentral.
CUAAUAUCACAGUUAAUUUGGUUAAAAGGUCAAGAAACACUUACUAGUUCUCAACUUUUUUCUAUGUAAACCAAUCUCAUGAAUGUGAGACACCCAUAGGUACACCUAUGAAUUUUAAUAGCUAGAGAAUAUUAUAAACAGGAUUUGGUAUGGAUGUUUAGUGUCAAUUUCCCUUUCUAGCUGUUUCCAACUGAUAUCCCAGGUCAUAACCAAUGCAUUGUAGAACUUUCAUGAACAUUUCCUGAUACAACUUUUUUAAAAAAGCAAUUCAGUCAUCUAAAAUUUCUUAACAGCUUAUUUUUUACAAUGCCUAUGUGGGUCUUAUUGGAAACAUGAUUAUUACCCACAAUUUGUUGGAGCUUGAUUUUCUAAUUUGCUUUAACUCAGUGCAUCUAAAACUUUAGUGUUCCUACAAAUUACCUAGGGACCUUAUUAAAAUGUACAUUUUGAUUCAGCAGGUCUUGCACAGGGUUUGUAAUUCUGGAUUUUGCAUUAGCUACUUGGUGAUCAGAUGUUGCUGCUUCAAGAUUCUUAGCGAAGCUUUGAAUGGCUAUUCACUAGCAGUACUUAAACACUGAAGUUUACUGCUUCUAAAUCUGCUGCAGACUAUAAAAAAAAAUCAUAAACUAAGCUAGCGAACUUCAUUUUAAAUAGGAAGCCAAUAAACCACCGAAUGAAAAACUCAGCCUAAUAUGGGUUUGGAAUUGCUAUUUGGGGUUUCCUUACACCUUUCCUCAUAGGUGAUUGAGCUGGAUGCAGUGGCACAUGUCUGUAAUCCCAGCAGUUUGAGAAGCUGGGGGAAGAGAAUUUCAAGUUCAAAGCCAGCCUCAACAAAUUAAUGAGGCCCUAAGCAACCUAGCAAGACCCUGUCUCAAAAUAAAAAAUAAAUAAAUAAAAAGGGAUGGGGAUGUGGCUCAGUGGUAAAGCUCCUCUGGGUUCAAUCCCCAGUUCCAAAAUAAAUAAAAGACGGAAUCAACUGAAAGACUGACCUCUGGAUAAAUGAGGUGUUAUUCAUCUCCACAUGGGCACUGGGCCCAUAAACAUUUGGCUUAGAUAAAUCAAAAAACAAGAAUGGAAGCAGAUGGACAAGUUGGGAAGCCAUUAUAAUAAUAUAGCAAGGAAGUGCUGUCAGGCUAACCUAAAGCCAUAGUAGGAAGAUGGGAUGGAUUUUUUAAAAGAAAGUGGGGAUUGGAAGAGAGAGGUUGGUGGAGGUAGGGGAAAAGGAGGUGAUGAGAGAAAGUCUAAGAUUAUUCCAAGAUACUUGGCUUCAGCAAUUUGGUACACAGUAGUGCCCUUAAAUAAGAGAACCUAGUAGGGAAAACAUCAGUCAGGUGGGAUUUCGGAGAAAUGAGUUUGGCUUUGGACAUGUUAUGUUUGGGGUUUCUGUGGACCAUAUACAGGGACAGGAUAGUGUUUUGGUUUGUAGUCAAAUAUAUCUAGGUUCAGAUUCCAGCUCUGCCAUGUGUUUAACUGUAUGCUGUUAAUCCAGUAAAUUCCAAGGUUUUUUGUUUUGUUUUGUUUGUACCAGGAAUUGAACUCAGGGGCACUCAACCACUGAGCCUUGUCCCAGCCCUACUUUGUAUUUUAUUUAGAGACAAGUUCUCACUGAGUUGCUUAGCGCCUCACCCUUGCUGAAGCUGGCUUUGAACUCAUGAUCCUCCUGUCUCAGCCUCCUGAGUCUCUGGAACUACAGGCAUGCACCACUGAGCCUGACUAAAUUUGAAGUUUUCAAGUCUGUGACUAUUUCAAUGAAAUUGACAUGGGUGCAUUAAAAUAGGUGAACACCAGUAAUCCCAGCGGCUCAACUUCAAAGCCAGCCUCAAAAAUUUAGGUAGGCCCUAAGCAAUUUAGCAAGACCAUGUCUCAAAAUCAAAAAUAAAAAAGGCUGGGGAUAUGGCUCAGUGGUUAACUGCCCCUGAGUUCAAUCCCCAGUACCAAAAAAAAGGUUGGAAAUCAUAACCUAGAGCUUAUAUUAUUA